Molecule: ribosomal RNA, 253 nt
Filed under: uncultured bacterium
Lineage: Bacteria
Description: partial 16S ribosomal RNA
Rfam family: Bacterial small subunit ribosomal RNA
Source: RNAcentral
UACGUAGGGCGCAAGCGUUAUCCGGAAUGAUUGGGCGUAAAGCGUCCGCAGGUGGCUAUGUAAGUCUGCUGUUAAAGAGUGAGGCUCAACCUCAUAAGAGCAGUGGAAACUACAUGGCUAGAGUGCGUUCGGGGCAGAGGGAAUUCCUGGUGUAGCGGUGAAAUGCGUAGAUAUCAGGAAGAACACCGGUGGCGAAAGCGCUCUGCUAGGCCGCAACUGACACUGAGGGACGAAAGCUAGGGGAGCGAAUGGG